Molecule: long non-coding RNA, 421 nt
Organism: Leopardus geoffroyi (Geoffroy's cat)
Lineage: Eukaryota; Metazoa; Chordata; Mammalia; Carnivora; Felidae
Exons: 2
Source: RefSeq, a predicted model, not a curated record
AUCACCACGACCACUGCCACCACCCCCAUCACCAUCAAAUGGGCUGCUAAUGUCCCCAUGUGACAAACCUGCUUUGGAAAAAAAAGAAGGAACAACGUGGGAGACGGACCAAAGGAUUUUUUGCAACCAAGAAAAAGAAAGUUCAUCAACAGGUUUUCAGAUCCCACACUGAGAUGGUUCAAGUACCACCACUUGUCGGGUUUUGUGUACUCCGAGGAAGUGAUCUGGAAAGCCUUUUAAAUCCUCUCUCUUCUAGCUACGUAUCUGUGAGGCGCGAGUUUCCUUCAUGUACUUCAAGCAAGCGAUCCACCGCAACAGAUUGACUCUAUUCAACCAGAUGGUAAAGAGAUUGGCAGAAACACGACGAUGCCACCCUUUCGCCGAUUACUUUGAAGUAGCAAACGUGUUCUUUAUACUAACA